GAGAACUCGUCCUAUUCAUUUCUUCUUUUCUAAUUUUCUACACUUGUGAUAAUAUCAACAAGUAGAAUUUGAUCUUUGGGUGUGACAUCCAGGCAAGACAAGCUUCCUUUCUGUUGAUGUAGAGUACGUAUGAGGAUGUACCACCAUUGGAAAUAUGAAACGCUAAUUCUUGAGAUGCAUUAAGCGGAGUAUAGUGUAAUGUAAGUUGUUCAAUUUGACGCAUAAACAACAUCUACAAUGGAUGUUUCAUACACAAUGGAACAUUUAAAAGUAAAAUAACAAGAAGUUUAGAUGGUAUCCCAACCAAUCUUAAAUUGCAAUUUGAUCGAUACAUCAAUUGCACACGUCUCUUAAAUCAUCUGCGGUGGAGCACCGACUAUGCUAUAAAGUGAAUCUCAGAGAACUACUAAAAGGAUGGAGCAAUUCGUGAAUGAAACAUAUAUCAUAAUCAAGGUUAAUAAGGACAUAAUUGGAGAUACUCCUGCAAAUUCAUCCAUCUUCAAGUUUAUCGGUUUAUUGGUUUGAGAAGGCUGAUGGAUUUUCAAGAGUAUUUCAAGGCUGCCUUCACUACAAAUAAAGAAGAGAGGGAAGCACGUUGGGUGGAAGCACGUUGAGAGUGAAAUAUAUGAAUAUUUUUAUGCGUUAAUAUUUUUUCAUUGUAACUACAACCACUAAAAUUUUAAAAUCAACUGGUUUAUUAUAAGGCAAAUUCUAU
RNAcentral lists this long non-coding RNA (715 nucleotides) under Medicago truncatula (barrel medic). RNAcentral's name for it is "lncRNA gene541". The record is from RNAcentral. Lineage: Eukaryota; Viridiplantae; Streptophyta; Magnoliopsida; Fabales; Fabaceae.